AGUAUUCUGCGGUGUUAGUUGUCUCAUAUAAUUCAACCGACAAUAUAGACACGGGUGUCUACGUUUAACAGUGGAUAGCAAGCCCUCCUGAAGGGAAGUUAGAAGUUGUUAACAGGAAUCCCACCUUUAAAAAGGCGGGCGUGAAUUAGCUGGGAGGACGGCAUUGCGGUAACAA
This 175-nucleotide non-coding RNA is filed under the name Tissierella sp. Yu-01. RNAcentral describes it as "6S RNA". It matches the Rfam family "6S / SsrS RNA". From Rfam's summary of the family: E. coli 6S RNA was the first non coding RNA to be sequenced, but its function was unknown until recently. It consists of 184 nucleotides that fold into an extended hairpin structure with a large single-stranded internal bulge. The record is from RNAcentral. Lineage: Bacteria; Bacillati; Bacillota; Tissierellia; Tissierellales; Tissierellaceae.